UGGGGAAUCUUCCGCAAUGGGCGCAAGCCUGACGGAGCAACGCCGCGUGAGUGAAGAAGGCCUUCGGGUUGUAAAGCUCUGUCUUCAGGGAAGAAAGAAAUGACGGUACCUGAGGAGGAAGCCACGGCUAACUACGUGCCAGCAGCCGCGGUAAUACGUAGGUGGCAAGCGUUGUCCGGAAUUACUGGGCGUAAAGGGCGCGUAGGCGGGUCCUUAAGUCCGAUGUGAAAUCUCUGGGCUCAACCCAGAGUUUGCAUUAGAAACUGAGGAUCUUGAGUGCAGGAGAGGGCAGUGGAAUUCCUAGUGUAGCGGUGAAAUGCGUAGAUAUUAGGAGGAACACCAGUGGCGAAGGCGACUGCCUGGACUGUAACUGACGCUGAGGCGCGAAAGCGUGGGGAGCAAACAGG
Molecule: ribosomal RNA, 407 nt
Filed under: uncultured prokaryote
Also listed under: 1 other name
Description: bacterial SSU rRNA
Rfam family: Bacterial small subunit ribosomal RNA
Source: RNAcentral